ACGGAAGGCAGCAGUGGGGAAUAUUGGUCAAUGGGGGCAACCCUGAACCAGCGACGCCGCGUGAGUGAAGAAGUAUUUCGGUAUGUAAAGCUCUAUCAGCAGGGAAGAUAAUGGCAGUACCUGACUAAGAAGCACCGGCUAAAUACGUGCCAGCAGCCGCGGUAAUACGUAUGGUGCAAGCGUUAUCCGGAUUUACUGGGUGUAAAGGGAGCGUAGGCGGUUUGGCAAGUCUGAUGUGAAACCCCGGGGCUUAACCCCGGGCAUGCAUUGGAAACUGUCGGACUAGAGUGUCGGAGAGGAAAGCGGAAUUCCGAGUGUAGCGGUGAAAUGCGUAGAUAUUAGGAGGAACACCAGUGGCGAAGGCAGCUUACUGGACGAUAACUGACGUUGAGGCUCGAAAGCGUGGGGAGCAAACAGGAUUAGAUACCCUGGUA
This 434-nucleotide ribosomal RNA is filed under the name uncultured Dorea sp. RNAcentral describes it as "partial 16S ribosomal RNA". It matches the Rfam family "Bacterial small subunit ribosomal RNA", at positions 341 to 792 of the family's 1533-position model. Lineage: Bacteria; Bacillati; Bacillota; Clostridia; Lachnospirales; Lachnospiraceae. The record is from RNAcentral.